GGGAACAAUUAUGUUCUAUUGAUAUUCAUCGAAGCAAUGGAGAGCAUCAAGAAGGAAUUUUUCAGGCUACCAUAUAUAAGGAUAGCAAGCAACUCAAUUAAACAUUACUGAAAUGGUGAGUUUAGUGUUUUUUUUAUUUGUAGUAUGGGCCUCUUGAGAAGUUGACAGUAACAUAUUCGGCUUCCAUUCCAUUUAAUUAGUACUAAAUUAGGCUCUAUUAUCACAAUAUGGUGGAUUUUUGCGACGAUACUUAUUUAUUUGCUCACUUAUUUUAGAAAGAAGUGGUUGGUUUCUACUGGAAUAGAAAUCUUAAGAACUAUUAAAUACCAGCAAGUUGUGUCUUAUUUAAGAAUGGUUACCUCUAUCACUGAAAGCUAGCUGUUUUCAGCGAAUUGGCUGUGUUUUGAAGAAAAUGAGGUAUGACUUUACAAACUGCAAGCACGCGAAUAAAAAUUGAACCAUGGGAGGAGAUAUGCUCUCUCCAUUGUGACCACUGAUAUUUUUUAGCCCGAUGUAGGUGAUUCAUUUUUCAUUCCAAGCAUAAAUGAUCACCUAUAUAAGCUUAAAUAUUGUCUAUUAAUAUUUAGAAAAUAUGUUUAUUUCACCUCCAGAUUCUGCUUUAGAGCUGCAAAUCGUACUCUAAUACCAUGGACAGGAGCCUUUGAAACUUUUGCAGGUUUCCGACCGCCGGUCGGCCUCGUCGCUGGUAAAAACAGUGUGCCACCCUGCCGACCAUGGCCCUGGAUGGCCAUAGCGUGCGUGGUCUAGACUAGCCUGCCCGAGCUCCCCCUGUGACCUUGGUUGCCGCCCGCUACAUGUUUGAUGGCCCUUCCGUGAUUGCAGAUCGACUCCCUCCUGGUUUGCUGCCUUUCCUCGAUCGACAUGGCGGACAGGCGGCGACCAGGCGGGUUCUGGUUCUGCUAUGGAUCGCCGGUGAUGGAUAAUUGACGUCCAUUAUCUGAACUUCCGUGAACUCUGCUUCGCUGCUCCAACAAAGAACCAGCUCGAUGGGACGACGCGGCGGCCAGGCAGGUUCUGAUUCUUCUCGCCGGCCUGACAGGACCUGACCAACACCCCUAUCAAUAACUGGUGCUGGGUUAGAUGAUGAUGUGAACACAAAUCCUGGCUCACAAGGUGUGUCGUUUGGCGAUGAAAACACUCCUUGCCCCCAAUGAUCUUUGGAGAUCAAAGUCUAGGGAAAAGUAUGCUUCCAUGUAUGAGGACAAAAGGGCCGCGCUUAAUGCCAAACGCAGGGAGAACUACCAUCAUAAGAAGGCCGAACGACUUACGGCAUCAGGUAUCAAUGUUACAAUUUGCCUAUGGCUUACGUGCACCAAGAGGAUAUUGAUGUUUGGCAAAUUUUGGCCACGGACAUUCAAAAAACGAUGUCUUUGCUGCAGCACACCGCCAACUACGUUUUUAGCCAUGGCACAUUAGCCUUUCACGUUAAUUGGUUGUAGCACACCGUAGCCAAGAAACAAUCAAUUUCGCCGGAUUUGGAGAGAGAGCGUUAAGUGUGUGGACAAUUUUGCCCCUGGCUCCGUUAAGUGGUCUGACCCAACCGCUCGGUCGGUCGGUCUGCUUCUUCUUCCCCUAGCUCAUCUUCCUCUCUCUUCCUCUCUCGUUCCUUUCCUCUCCUUGUGAAACCCUAGCAACCGAGGGCCCGAUAGAAGAGGAGGAUGGCUUGGAGCUGUCAGAACUCGGGUGCCCCUGCUUUGGACGCGUAUAGGGACGGUGAAGGCAAUCUCCCGUUGGUAGAUUGCAAAAAGUGCGGCACUCAGAUCAUUGGCCUGGUGUCGAAGAAGGAGCACAGCUAUGGUCAAAGGUUCUACAAGUGUCCACUAGUUAAUCAUCUGUACAUGUGGGAGGACCAAUACGUUGAGUACCUCAUCGACAGAUCCAAGCUUCCAUGAUGCUUCUCAAAGAUUGGUGGAGGGUCGUCGGCUCAGGCAUUUCCGCAAGUCACUGAUCCUAGGAUGUCCUCUGUGGAGAUAAUUGCGUGUUUGAAGGAAUCAAUAGCAAGAGUGGAUCGAUGCACUUCCCUGUUAGAAAGCAGAACUGACUCUCUGAAGGAUGCAGAAGCCGCUUUGAAGAAGAUUGUCUAUGGCAAUAAGUCAAUGGGGAGCAACAUCGAGAAGAUAGGCGAUCGCCUGGUUGUUUUAGGUCUAGCAAAUCUGUUUGUGGUAGUUGUACUGCUCCUGGUGGUGUUAGUGAAGUGAGCAGGGAAUUGUGUAGUGCUUAGUUCUCCUGGUAGUGUUAGCAAAUCAGUUACUAGGUGAGACUGUAUGUUUUGAAUGGUUUAUGACUGGUUGUUCUGAAUGAGACUGUAUGUUUAGCUAACAUCAAUGAGACUGUAUGUUGUGAUGGUUCAUAGUCUGAAUGUAUGUAUGCAUCGUUCAUGACUGAAUAAGUGACAGUCUGAAUAAGUGACAGUCUGAAUAAGUGACAGAACAAACAGAUCACAUAAUUUAGGCCAGCAACUUGAGCUUACAGUCUGAAUUAAGAAACAGUCUGAAUAAGUAGGCCAUCCACUUGAACAAACAGUCUAAAUAAGUCUCUAACAUCACAAGGCAGAAUACACACGAGCAUAGUUCUAGACAUAACUGCCAUCAAAGGCCACAAAAGCAUAGUUGUAGACAACAUGACAAGUCAUCUCUCAAAAGCAUCAUUAGUACGUGAGAAACAUAGAACUUCCACUUAUUUCAGCACAUCCAUCAGUAGCUUCUUCUUGGCCUUGCCUUUGCCAUGUCUUGCCAUCCUGCAGCUCAGAAGCAUGAAUCCUCCACCUGCACUUUUUACUUUUGCUGUCUUUGCCCUUGCAGUUCCCUCUGUACCUUUUUGCCUCACUAUAAUGGGCAUGAAUUUCAAACUCAUGGAGCACAGCAUACUGUUUAAUUGCCCUCUUAAAUGUGUCUCCAUCUUCAAAUGUGACACCAACAGCAAUGGUUGGGUUCUCCAAGUAAGUCACAUGUUCAACUUUCUCACAACCAGCUGCAUCGUCAACAAACAGGUCAUCCAUCUCACAAGAGUCACCAUCAGUUGAGUGCCCAUCAUGUACUGCCUGAUCUUCACCGUCAGAUAAAUAUGGGUGCUCAUCAUUUAGACCAACAUAUUCCAUCUCAUCCUCAUCCCAUGGUUCUUCAUCAGUUUGAACAUUCCCUCUCUUACAUUUCUUAGACUUAGUUUUGGAUGUCCAUGUCUUAUCCUCAUCAACGGACUCAGUCAAAGUUGGAGGAAGAGGCUCUGUGGCAACGGUAGCACCGACGACAUGCUCUACAAAAGGUUCAACAGAUUCACUUUGGCUAUGGUCCAUUGUCACUGUGUCAUAAACUGACGCAAACAGAGCCAACCUUCUCAUUUCCCAAUACAGGUCCAUUGCCUCCAUCAAAAUGGCAUCAGAGGUAACAUUCAUGAAAACAGACACAUUCCUGUUCCAAAAGCAAAUUGAUAUUCCCUGAUUCGUACCAAGCUUCACUCCCUCUGAUAUUUCCUCUAUUAGGUCCUUCAAGUUGGUUGUAUCACGAUCCACAACUAGCUGAAGAACUGAGUCACGGUGUACUACAGAACUACCAUCAUUGCAAACCUCGACAUACUGUGGAACGCGCACAGCAAUUCUGCACGCCGAACUACUAUCCAUCCUAAAACAAAGGAAACAAAGAUAUGGAACAAUGACAAGUGAGAAGAUCCAAACCCUAAAUCAACUUGACCGAGUUGGUAUACCCAAAUCCAACCACAUUACGUAGUCUGAAACCAUAAAUCGAACGCUAGCAAAAAGAUAAUGUAUAAAUGCUUACCCUUCUGGGACCCAAUCCAGAUUCAAGCCCUUCGACGGUGAUGCGUUCCUCGGCCACAAGCUCUUCUUCCCUUGCCUCGACCCCACGCGCUUCUUCCCUUUCUCUGGAGCCAUCUUCUCCAACUCCUCUAUGCUUCGACUAGCUACUCCUCUGGCCCCAUAGCUGCGGAGAGCAGGGCAACGACGGAGGAGGGCACCGACGGUGCGGGGGUUCAGAGA
Molecule: long non-coding RNA, 4012 nt
Organism: Panicum virgatum (switchgrass)
Lineage: Eukaryota; Viridiplantae; Streptophyta; Magnoliopsida; Poales; Poaceae
Exons: 3
Source: RefSeq, a predicted model, not a curated record